Molecule: long non-coding RNA, 3078 nt
Organism: Gadus morhua (Atlantic cod)
Lineage: Eukaryota; Metazoa; Chordata; Actinopteri; Gadiformes; Gadidae
Source: Ensembl
AUGGUUGGCUGUGCAGCGUUUGGAUGCUCCAAUCGGUCCGAGAAGGGUGACUUUUCAAUGAUAUUUGAAGUGCAAUGGAAACUGAUCUUACAAGCCUACCUACAGGUACACUUUGACCUAAUUCACUGCCACAAAAGAGAAGGGAUGUUGAAGCUGAGGCCCGAUGCAGUACCAACAGUUUUCAUUCAUCGCCCUAAGCCGAAGAGGAGAAAACCCCCUUCUGUGAGGGUCCCUCCAGAACCAAGUGCAACGGACCACACAUAUUUCACCAAAUUGAACUUCGUUGCCUUAUUAGGUCCUCCACAGUCGCCCCAUCAGUCCCUGGCAGUCUGGUCCCUGGAGCAGUCUGGUCCCUGGAGCAGCUGCCCCUGAAUCACCUGGCCCUGGCAAAGUGGCCUCUUGAUUGCUCUCUGUGUCUCCUGUCAUGUCCUUUUCAUCGCUCUUGAAAUCCACCUAAAUUUCUCCCUCAAUCUCUGUAAUAAUUACAAGGUAAUGUUGCUGUUAUAUGUAUUUUGCCUUUGCAUUUGCAACUACUGUCAUCUCCAAUGUAAGAAAAUGAAUUAAAGCAAAACAUUUCUGUAAUGUGAAUUAAAUCAUCUGCCACAAUCAGAAACCAAUACAAUGUAUAAAUGGAUCUACCAGCAAUUGUUAAUUGGGUAGAAAUGUGUCGAUUAUCUACAUUGUGUGCAAAUCCUCAGAGAAUCCCUGACCUCUGGUUGUUUUUUAAACUGAAUGUACAAACAUUAAUUAUGUAAUCUCAUUAGGAGUGUAGUCUAUCCUUGAAUUGCAUGAAAUGGGGAAUAUUGUUAGCUGCAUGGAUCAUACCGAAGUUUAAUUUGGUGAAAUAUGUGUGGUCCGUUGCACUUGGUUCUGGAGGAACCCUCACAGAAGGGGGUUUCCUCCUCUUCGGCUUAGGGCGACGAAUGAAAACUGUUGGUACUGCAUCGGGCCUCAGCUUCAACAUCCCUUCUCUUUUUGUGGCAGUGAAUUGGUCAUCUUCAAAGUGUACCUUUUUAUAGGUAGGCUUGUAAGAUCAGUUUCCAUUGCACUUCAAACAUCCCUAAAUGCCCUUUGAAAUGCUAUCAAGUGAUGUGAACAUUACUUACAUUACAUCGUUUUUGACGGUUGCUGACCCCUGUCACUUGUACGUUUUGACGGCUGACCAUUGUCAUCCAUUUCUUCCUGCGCUCUUGGUCCUUGGGGAAGCCAUACAUGUGGUAACCCUUCUCGGACCGAUUUGAGCAUCCAAACGCUGCCAAGCCAACCAUGGUAUGACCAUUGAUCUAAACCAAUUUUGAAUUUGCUCAGGGCUAUUAUAGGUAUUGUAAUGGCAUAAAGUAUAGUAUAUUUGCAACGUUAUAUGUUAAUGGUUUGCCCUAAGUAUAUUAUAUAGUGUUCCCUGCUGUGUCCAUUGUUGAAUCUGUUCACACAAUCACACUCACUUGUUCUUGUCACACUAAUUGUUUAUUAAAAACUAUUUCAUUCAUCCAAGCGUAAUGAGUUGUUAUUCUUAAAUAUAUUUGAUACUUUGUGUGGCUCAUAUCUUAAAACGAUCAUGGUAAAACAUCUUGAUUACUUUGAUUCCAAUACAGAUGUAGGGUAAAAGUUAAGGUCAAGCCAGUAUGCUAACACGAACGUGAAGCUUUCCCUCAAACUUAAAAACUUUAAGUAAUACUAGUAAUAGCAAUACUUAGAGAUAGCUUUCAGUUGUCCCCCUACCACUCUAAAUGUAAAACUGACAUUAACAAAUAUGCAAUAAUGCCAUAACAGUCAGACAAAUACUAUGUGUUUUUUUCAUUCAUAUUAUCCAUUCAAUAUUGAAAUCUCUGCUGUCGUCCCAUAGAAUAACAUUGACUGCGCGGCGUGUUUGGAACUAUUGAGGCUUACAUGAACCACGUGACAACGACGUGACCACCCUGUUGGAGAGAUCAUAGCGUGUCGCAACUCUCUCUCUCUAUAGCCAGAGAAUGUCUAAUAUGAGGAGAAUGGGCACUCGCUGGUUAGUUCCGGUUUUCUGGAAUGGUUGCAGUAAUAAUCUCUGUCCACGCGGGGCGCUCGUAGGCGAGUCCAGAAUGAAUGGGGGCCUAUGGGGUUUUAUCCUCAGAAUCCACUUUUCUCACAAUGUAAUUUUUUGUCAAGUAAUUUGAAAGUUGCGUUCAAAAGGUGGGGCUAAAAUAAUAAACUCAGCUGAAUAUUGCAUUUUUUAAGGUCACGUAUCUGUUCUAAAAAGGUGUUAAAAAAAUACGAUGACGUCACACAUUGUCAUACUGUCAGAGGUACUGCUUUACGGCAGUUUCUGAAGCACUUCCCGCAACGAUAAUACCAGCUGUUGGAGGUAAGGCUUUUUCUUGCUUACUAGUUACACAGUUUUAGUGAGCUAAUGUAAAAAAAAAGAAAUGCGCGAAUGUUUUACAUAUGAAUGUAAUUUACAGUGUUUUUUUUUAAUCCUCACUAGUGCCGAUGAUAAAGCUUUUUUUUUAGUAACGAUUAUGAGCCAUUUCUUUCUCCUGAAAUAGAAACCUGGAUUAGAAUCAUAAUUUUAAGACUGCAUCAACUAAGUUUACAUCAGUAAACAAUUUCCUAGAGAGCAGUGUUCUGUUGUACUCCUCCUCAUGCCUCUUGAUCUCUACAGUUGGACAUUGAUGCUGUGACAAUGGACAAGUCUUCUUCCUCUGUCCUUUUUCCCUGCCUCUGUUCUGUAUGUUCAGUGUUGUUAAAUCAUUUAUCUUUUUUUUUUUAUUAUUUAUUAUUAGUUACUGUUCUUAUUGUGUUCUUGUUAUUGUGAUGUUUUAAUAAACUUGCCUGUUGCAAUGUUGGUAUAAUUACUGUUAUACAACUGUUACUGUUUCAAUGUGACCCAGACCAUAUUUCUCAUUUAACAAACAUGCGUAGCUUAUAAUGUGUUGCAGGGCAGAGCAAUUAUAUUCAAUGGAUUAAUACAAACCCAUCUGUAAAGAUCAGUGAAUGCAUAGCAAUCAAUGACCAGUGGUGCAGAUGGUUUUCGCUCUGUGCAAGGUCUUUAGCCCAAGUAAGUCCUACAAAAAAAAUAACUACAGUAAUAGCAGAUGUUGAAGUUGU